This 1063-nucleotide long non-coding RNA is filed under the name Homo sapiens (human). RNAcentral's name for it is "non-protein coding lnc-TBCCD1-4:63". Lineage: Eukaryota; Metazoa; Chordata; Mammalia; Primates; Hominidae. The record is from RNAcentral.
GUCAGCUGCUAUGACAAUGCCCGGGCGAUCGUGCCCUCCAGCGCUGCCUGCAUGCCGAGGAGGAAGCGAGUCCCCACGUGAAUAAUCGGGCUCCGCCGGCUCACAGCGGAUGUCAGAAGAGGAAGUUCUGCCUCAUUACCUGGAGGUAAGAAUGCUGCACUGAAGAGCCAAGAAGAAUCUGAACAGACAGGACUUGCUGGGUUUAGAUCAUUCCCUUUUUGUCCAAUCACAUUUCAACAUGGUUGUCCAUGCUUCAGUCAUGCCUGUCCAAGAAGUCUUCAUAAAAGGCCCAAGAGGACAGGGUUCAGGGAGUUUUGGAGACCUGAACACAUGGAGGCUGACAGGAAGGUGAAUAAGAACUCAUUCAACAGCCAGGCGCCGUGGCUCAUGCCUGUAAUCCCAGCACUUUCGGAGGCCCAGGCGGGUGGAUCACCUGAGGUGGGGGUUCGAGACCAGCCUGACCAACAUGGAGAAACCCCGCCUCUACUAAAAAUACAAAAUUAGCUGGGCGUGGUGGCGGGCGCCUGUAAAUCCCAGCUACUUGGGAGACUGAGGCAGGAGAAUCGCUUGAACCUGGGAGGCGGAGGUUGCAGUGAGCCGAGAUUGUGACAUUGCACUCCAUCCUGGACAACAAGAGCAAAACUCCAUCUCAAAAAAAAAAAAGAAAAAAAAAAGAACUCAUUCAACCAACUCCUCGGGCACAGAAGUUCCUGGGCUCGGGACCCUUCCAGACCUCUCACUAUGUAUCUAUGUAUCUCUCUCUCUUCAUCUGUUUAUUCAUACUUUUAAAAAUAUCCUUUAUAAUAAGCCAGUAAACGUAAGUGUUUCCUUGAGUUGUGUGAGCCACUUUAGCAAAUUAAUCAAACCCAAAGAGGAGUUUGUGGGAACCCCAACCUGAAGCCUGUUGGUCAGAAAUUCCCGAGGCAUAGACUUGUGAAUGGUGAGAAGGGGCGGGGCAGACUUGCGGGACUGAGCCCUCAACCUGUGGUUUCUGAGGCUAUGCAGGAUGAUAACGUCAGAAUUGAAUUAAACUGGAAGACACUCAGCUGGUGUCCUCUGCUUG